This 497-nucleotide ribosomal RNA is filed under the name uncultured bacterium. Its description in RNAcentral is "partial 16S ribosomal RNA". It matches the Rfam family "Bacterial small subunit ribosomal RNA", at positions 28 to 507 of the family's 1533-position model. The record is from RNAcentral.
GAUGAACGCUGGCGGCGUGCUUAAUACAUGCAAGUCGAGCGAACAGACGCGGCGCUUGCUCUUCUGUCGUUAGCGACGGACGGGUGAGUAACACGUGGAUAACCUUCCUCUCAGACUUAGACAACGGCGAGAAACCCGAGUUAAUACCGUGUCUUCUAUUCAACCGCAUGGUUCAGUAGUGAAAGACGGUUUUGCUGUCACUUAUCGAUGGAUCCGCGCCGUAUUAGCUAGUUGGUAAGGUAACGCCUUACCAAGGAAACGAUGCGUAGCCGACCGGAGAGGGUGAUCGGCCACACGGGAGCGGAGACACGGACCAGACGCCUGAGGGAGGCAGCAGAAGGGAAUCGUACGCAAUGGGCGGAAGCCUGACGGAGCAGCGCCGCGUGAGUGACGAAGGUCCUCGGAUCGGAAAACUCUGUUAUUAGGGAAGAACAAAUGUGUAAGGAGCUGAGCACGGCUUGACGGUACCUAAUCAGAAAGCCACGGCUAACUACGUG